GACGAACGCUGGCGGCGUGCUUAACACAUGCAAGUCGAACGGAAAGGCCCUGCUUUUGUGGGGUGCUCGAGUGGCGAACGGGUGAGUAACACGUGAGUAACCUGCCCUUGACUUUGGGAUAACUUCAGGAAACUGGGGCUAAUACCGGAUAGGAGCUCCUGCUGCAUGGUGGGGGUUGGAAAGUUUCGGCGGUUGGGGAUGGACUCGCGGCUUAUCAGCUGGUUGGUGAGGUAGUGGCUUCCCAGGGCUUUGACGGGUAGCCCGCCUGAGAGGGUGACCGGCCACAUUGGGACUGAGAUACGGCCCAGAAUCCUACGGGAGGCAGCAGUCGGGAAUAUUGCACAAUGGGCGGACGCCUGAUGCAGAAACGCCGCGUGCGGGAUGACGGCCUACGAGUUGUAAACCGCUUUCGCCUGUGACGAAGCGUGAGUGACGGUAAUGGGUAAAGAAGCACCGGCUAACUACGUG
RNAcentral lists this ribosomal RNA (468 nucleotides) under uncultured bacterium. RNAcentral's name for it is "partial 16S ribosomal RNA". It matches the Rfam family "Bacterial small subunit ribosomal RNA", at positions 28 to 507 of the family's 1533-position model. The record is from RNAcentral.